UUCCUGUGCCACAGCAACAGAGCUCCAGUUGUGUCUUGUAAGAAUUGGUCAUUGUUUCAUGGGGACGACUGGCUCCUUUGGGUGGGAUCUGAUGGCAUCUCAUGGAGUUGAGGUCUGCUGCAGUAAUGAAUACAUAUAGAAAUAUAUAUAACUGUCGAGGCAGAGCCCUUCAUAACAGAGCUCAGUAAAGGUGUGUACCUGGCCCAGGAGUUGGAGAAGCUUCAGGAGGAUCCAUCCAGGGGAAGGUGGAACAGUUGCAGGCCCAGCUGCUGUCUCAUGCAAGAGGUGAUCCAGCAGCGAAGAGACAUAUAUAAGGAUAUGGUAGUACUAACAGGAAACCUAGAACUUUAGCUUUCAAGACAUGCUCCUGAUUCUCUUUGUGUAGAAGCAGCCUAGAUUGAAUCACUGCCUUCUUUGCCUGUUGAUUCAAUGGCAUGAGUCAAAGCGGUCAGGUGGCACUCCAGAUCAACCGAGUCAUCAUAUGUCCCCUGACAGAAGAACUCCUCCUUUUGGAACUAAGACCUCUUUACCACCCGAGCCUGAUGUCACAGGGACUGGAAGCAAUCGUUUGUUAGUGAACUGCUAGGGAUAAUAGUGAGAAGAUCCUGUCCUAUUUCCACCCCUUGAUCCCCGUACGCAUGAGUUCUGGCUAAGGAAGAAACAGAAAUAUAUGUUGGAUGCUGAUCUAGAGCAUACUUUGCAUCCUAAAAGACCAUACAUGAGUCUCCAAAAGGACAUUCCACCAUUCUAUCAAGCCAGCUGCUUCAGGGUGACGGGGAACACGAGAAGACUGAUGUCAACUUUUGUCUCGUAAUACACGAAUCUAUGAGUUUCUCUCAGAAAAUGGUUGUCUGCCAACGCUAACUGGCCAGCUCUGACAGGAGGUGCGUGGCCCAGGAGGAGCCAUCAGGCCAGUUCUCUGGGAUACUGCUGUGUCUCCAGCUCUGCAGUUUGCUCUUCGUCACUCAGCGGCAGACGGAGAGGCAGACACGAGCCCCUUGUGAGCCCUCCUCCUUACCGUCAUCUCACAAUGCUCUGAAAUAAGGAGGCAAAUGGCUGAGGUCCCCUCAGUUAAUAACUGGAUUACAAAAGGCAAGUCAUGUUGUCAACAGCCCGAGAUAUGUGAGGAAACUCUCUGAUGAAGGCCUAUGCCCAAAUGUCCUGAAAUGGAAAUCUGAGACCUGUAGAUGUGAUUGAGUUCUAUCUACCAGAAGCAUAUGCCUCCUGGAAGCCUGGUUCUAACACCUCCCACAAAAUCCUUCAAGCACUUUUUUCUGUUCCAAGGUUUGCUUAUGGGGGACCCAGUGAAGUGCUUCAGAGCCCUAGAGAUUUGCUGAGUCAUAUGAGGGGUCAGCAAACUUUUCCUGUAAAGGGUCAGAUAAUAAACAUUUUAAGCUUUGUAGACUGU
RNAcentral lists this long non-coding RNA (1408 nucleotides) under Homo sapiens (human). RNAcentral describes it as "HSALNT0337053". Lineage: Eukaryota; Metazoa; Chordata; Mammalia; Primates; Hominidae. The record is from RNAcentral.